GUGGAUGAUGGGAAAAGUAUAAAGGAAAUGUCACAGUUCAAGGUCUUUUCACUGUUGACUUGUGUAACUGUGUCAAUGGUUUGUAAUUUCAAUAAUUGCAACAUCUU
Etheostoma spectabile (orangethroat darter) is the source of this 107-nucleotide long non-coding RNA. RefSeq lists it as uncharacterized. NCBI's taxonomy places the organism in Eukaryota, Metazoa, Chordata, Actinopteri, Perciformes, Percidae. The transcript has 3 exons. The record is from RefSeq and is a predicted model, not a curated record.